GAUGAACGCUGGCGGCGUGCCUAAUACAUGCAAGUCGAGCGAACAGAUAAGGAGCUUGCUCCUUUGACGUUAGCGGCGGACGGGUGAGUAACACGUGGGUAACCUACCUAUAAGACUGGGAUAACUUCGGGAAACCGGAGCUAAUACCGGAUAAUAUUUCGAACCGCAUGGUUCGAUAGUGAAAGAUGGUUUUGCUAUCACUUAUAGAUGGACCCGCGCCGUAUUAGCUAGUUGGUAAGGUAACGGCUUACCAAGGCGACGAUACGUAGCCGACCUGAGAGGGUGAUCGGCCACACUGGAACUGAGACACGGUCCAGACUCCUACGGGAGGCAGCAGUAGGGAAUCUUCCGCAAUGGGCGAAAGCCUGACGGAGCAACGCCGCGUGAGUGAUGAAGGUCUUCGGAUCGUAAAACUCUGUUAUUAGGGAAGAACAUACGUGUAAGUAGCUGUGCACGUCUUGACGGUACCUAAUCAGAAAGCCACGGCUAACUACGUG
RNAcentral lists this ribosomal RNA (497 nucleotides) under uncultured bacterium. RNAcentral's name for it is "partial 16S ribosomal RNA". It matches the Rfam family "Bacterial small subunit ribosomal RNA", at positions 28 to 507 of the family's 1533-position model. The record is from RNAcentral.